UACGUAGGGGGCAAGCGUUGUCCGGAUUUACUGGGCGUAAAGCGCGUGUAGGCGGGAGCGAAAGUCCGGUGUGAAAUCCCUCGGCUUAACCGGGGAACUGCGUCCGAUACUGGAUGGCUUGAGUUCGGGAGAGGGAUGCGGAAUUCCAGGUGUAGCGGUGAAAUGCGUAGAUAUCUGGAGGAACACCGGUGGCGAAGGCGGCAUCCUGGACCGACACUGACGCUGAGGAGCGAAAGUCAGGGGAGCAAACGGG
Molecule: ribosomal RNA, 253 nt
Filed under: uncultured bacterium
Lineage: Bacteria
Description: partial 16S ribosomal RNA
Rfam family: Bacterial small subunit ribosomal RNA
Source: RNAcentral